GCUGCAUGAGUGAUCGCUAGUAUCGCGCAUCAGCAUGGCGCGGUGAUACGUUCCCGGACCUUGUACACACCGCCCGUCAGCGAUGGAAGUUGGGAGGACCUGAAGACAGUUGUUGUAAGACGCUGUUUAGGGUUAAACUGAUAACUGGCGCUAAGUCGUAACAAGGUAGCCGUACCGGAAGGUGCGGCUGGAACACCUCCUUUCUGGAACCCCGACAUGGUCGGGGCCAAAGAGAACCUGUCGACUCUCGAAGGGUCUGCUAUCAAUUACAUUUAUUCGAGUCAUUAUGAAAGGCUGAAAGCUUCAAGCUGAAGGCAAAGAGCUGAAGGCCAGCAUCACUGAAGGUUACGAGCAAGAGAAGAUCUUUAGGCUUUUAGGGCUUAAAGGCUUUUAGCGAAGAGGGCUUGUAGCUCAGGUGGUUAGAGCGCUACACUGAUAAUGUAGAGGUCCGUGGUUCGAGUCCAUUUAGGCCCACCAA
Molecule: ribosomal RNA, 478 nt
Filed under: uncultured bacterium
Lineage: Bacteria
Description: partial small subunit ribosomal RNA
Rfam family: Bacterial small subunit ribosomal RNA (bases 1-203)
Source: RNAcentral